CCUAGCUUGCUAGGUGGAUUAGUGGCGAACGGGUGAGUAAUACGUGAGUAACCUACCUUUAACUCUGGGAUAAGCCUGGGAAACUGGGUCUAAUACCGGAUACGACCAAUCUCCGCAUGGGGUGUUGGUGGAAAGCGUUAUGUAGUGGUUAUAGAUGGGCUCACGGCCUAUCAGCUUGUUGGUGAGGUAACGGCUCACCAAGGCGACGACGGGUAGCCGGCCUGAGAGGGUGACCGGCCACACUGGGACUGAGACAUGGCCCAGACUCCUACGGGAGGCAGCAGUGGGGAAUAUUGCACAAUGGGCGCAAGCCUGAUGCAGCGACGCCGCGUGAGGGAUGACGGCCUUCGGGUUGUAAACCU
Molecule: ribosomal RNA, 362 nt
Filed under: uncultured bacterium
Lineage: Bacteria
Description: bacterial SSU rRNA
Rfam family: Bacterial small subunit ribosomal RNA
Source: RNAcentral